UUUUUUUUUUUUUUUUUGAGAUAGGGUCUCACUGUUACAGUCCAGGCUGGAGUGCAGUGGCACAGUCUUGGCUCACCCUGUAGCCUCGACUUCCUGGGUUCAAGCAAUCCUCCUGCUUCUGCCUCCAAAGUAGCUGAGACUACAGGUGAGUGCCCCCACGCCCAGCUAAUUGUUUUUAUUUUUUGUAGACCACAGGCUGGUCUCAAACUCCUGAGCUCAAGUAAUCCAACUGCCUCGGCCUCCUAAACUGCUGUGAUUACAGACGUGAGCCAUCGUGCCUGGCCCAUCACUGCUCUUGAAACGUGGCAAAAGGGUUUAAUUACAGGAAACAUCAAUAAAGGAGGGGCCCAAGGCUCUGAAUACACAACACGACAAUCAGAUCUACCCACAGCACCUGGAAACCAAGUCGGCUGCAGGAGUGCCAGUCAGCCUUGAGGAAUACUCCAAAGCCCACAAAACCCCACACCAAGGACUGGGCCCUCUCACAUACCAGAGCAAAGCCUUUAGCAAGGUGCCUGUGAUCAAAAUAACCCUUCAACUCGAUGUUUUAAAGCCCAGCUCAGGCCAGGUGCGGUGGCUCAUGCCUGUAAUCCCAGCACUUUGGGAGGUCAAGGCGAGUGUUAUCGCCUGAGGUCAGGAGUUCGAGACCAGCUUGGCCAACAUGGUGAAACCCAGUCUCUACUAAAAAUACAAAAAUUAACCGGGCAUAGUGGCAGGCGCCUGUAAUCCCGGCAAUUUGGGAGGCUGAGGCAGGAGAAUCACUUGAACCCAGGAGGCGGAGGUUGCAGUGAGCCAAGAUCUCACCAUUGCACUCCAGCCUGGUGACACAGCAAGACUUUGUCUCAAAAAUAAAAAAAAUUUUUAAAAAGCCCAGUUCACAACGAGACCAGAAGUCUCCAUUGAUCUUGGCAGCCUGUGAGACAUACAGACACCCGCACAGGCUCACACAGCACACACGCAGACAUGUGACACGUGGUGGAAACACACGGGUCGGGGGAGAGGUCUGCCCUGAGCUGGGGCAGGGUCCGGGCGCCUUACCUGGUGUGCUCCCUGCAGCUCGUGAGCCACGGUUCCAGCGAGCUCCGUGCUCGCUGCGGUUUGCAGGCCGUCCCGCACAGACUGUAGCUCCUCGUCAUGUUUUUGCUUCAGUUUCUCCAACUCUUGAGUCAAAAUUGUUUGGUGAAGAGAGUCCUGUUUCCGCAGUUGUUCCUCAAAGUCUGCUCGUAAGAGCUCUAGGGCCCGCCUGUGCUCCUCACGGAUGGUCUGAAUUUCAGACAGGUAACAGGAUUCCAAAGAAUCAAGGCUGGACAGAUGUCUGGUCUCCAGAGUGCUGAGGUCGGCAGCGUGUUCCGUCUGCAGUUCGGCCACACGUGCGGCCAGCAGAGCCCCCUGCUUGCUCUCUAACGAGGCCGUCAGCUCACCCAGCGCCGCCUGGUGUCUGGCCUCGAGCUCUGCCGUCACUGACAGGAGCCGCUGCUGGUGCCUCUCCUGGAGGAGCUGCAGCUCGCGGGUGUGCUGCUCCUGGGCCUCCCGCAGGAAGGCAUCCUGUUCUGCACUGAAUUUCUCGGUGAUCUCUUUACGUUCCUCUAAAAACCUGUGGCAACAAAGUGAACACAGGACAGCUAAAUACGCACCCAGGAAGCAUCGAUCCUUGCAAAAGCCAAGUCAGUUUCCUAAAGGAAACGCCACUUCAACUGUUCAGGUCUUCGUUUUGGGAUUUUAACUGCUCUUAGUACUUCUCCGUCUGCCACCAGAAAUAACAAGUGGGAGACAGAAGAGGCCCCAAGAAGCCAGAGGAGCCCAGAGGCCAAAGGCCAAAGCCAUGGGAGUCACCAGGUCACAGACCACAGGUAGGACCCAGCACCCUCGGCAAGAGACGGUGCACACAUAUCCCCACCAGAGCCACGCACGGCAGGUACAACCGACCUCCUACUCACACCAGGGCGUCCAAGCCAGGUCCCAACUAAGAAUCCCAAGGCAAUCUCUGCUCCUCAGCAGGGAAGGGGCACUGCCCAUAGGGGCCCAUGGGGAGGGCGAGGCCUGAGAACCCCAUGACAGUGAAUAGAAUCCCAUGGCAGUGAAUUAAG
This 2087-nucleotide long non-coding RNA is filed under the name Macaca fascicularis (crab-eating macaque). RNAcentral describes it as "lncRNA (ENSMFAG00000061948.1)". The record is from RNAcentral. Lineage: Eukaryota; Metazoa; Chordata; Mammalia; Primates; Cercopithecidae.